GAUUAAGCUAUAAAGGGCGUAGGACGGAUGCCUUGGCACCAAGCGCCGAUGAAGGACGUGACAAGCUGCGAUAAGCCACGGGGAGUUGCAAAUGAACUUUGAUCCGUGGAUUUCCGAAUGAGGAAACUCACAUAUGGUAAUGCAUAUGUAACCAUACAUGAAUACAUAGUGUAUGGUGGGGAACCCGGGGAACUGAAACAUCUAAGUACCCGGAGGAAAAGAAAGAAAACAAUCGAUUUCCUGAGUAGUGGUGAGCGAAAGGGAAAGAGCCUAAACGUUUAUAUAGUGAUAUAUAAACGGGUUACGGACCCCAUAACGUACUGAUUUUUGUAGUUGAACACAGUUGGAAAGCUGGGCGAAACAGAGUAAAAGCCUCGUAGGCGAAACCGAAAUCAGACCGGGGGUAUCCAGAGUAUCACAGGACACGAGAAAUCCGGUGGGAAGACAGGAGGACCAUCUCCUAAGGCUAAAUACGACUUGGUGACCGAUAGAGUAUAGUACCGUGAGGGAAAGGUGAAAAGAACCCCGGGAGGGGAGUGAAAGAGAACCUGAAAUCCUAUGCUUACAAGCAGACAUAGCACUACUUGAAAGUGUGAUGUCGUACUUUUUGUAGAACGGGCCGGCGAGUUACGAUGUGUAGCGAGGUUAAGUGAUUAAGUCACGGAGCCGAAGCGAAAGCGAGUUUGAAAUGAGCGAUAGUUGCAUGUCGUAGACCCGAAACCAGAUGACCUAUUCAUGGACAGGUUGAAGCAGCGGUAAGACGCUGUGGAGGACCGAACCCACGUUCGUUGAAAAGACCGGGGAUGAGCUGUGAAUAGCGGAGAAAUUCCAAACGAAUCUGGAGAUAGCUGGUUCUCCUCGAAAUAGCUUUAGGGCUAGCCUCUCGUUAGUGUACCGAAGGUAGAGCACUGUAUGAGCUAGGGGGCUUCACGGCUUACUGAACUCUAACAAACUUCGAAUGACGGAUACAUGAUGCGAGGGAGUCAGACAGUGUGAGAUAAGUCUCAUUGUCAAAAGGGAAACAGCCCAGACCUACAACUAAGGUCCCAAAGUACAAGUUAAGUGGUAAAGGAUGUGUCGACGCUAAAACAACCAGGAUGUUGGCUUAGAAGCAGCCACUCAUUUAAAGAGUGCGUAAUAGCUCACUGGUCGAGUAUCGGUGCGCCGAAGAUUAUCGGGGCUAAAACUUGUCACCGAAGUUUAGGGAUAUGCGAUUGCAUAUCGGUAGAGGAGCAAUGUGUACGGGCAGAAGCUGUAUCGAAAGGGGCAGUGGACUGUACACAAGAGAGAAUGCCGGCAUAAGUAGCGAGAGCAAAGUGAGAAACUUUGCCGUCGAAAGCCUUAGGUUUCCUGGGGAAGGUUCGUCCUCCCAGGGUAAGUCGGGACCUAAGCCGAGGCCGAAAGGCGUAGGUGAUGGACAACAGGUAGAUAUUCCUGUACCACCGACAGUCGUCUAAAUGAAGCAAUGACACAGAAGGAUAGUCAAACCGCGUUGAUGGAUAUAUGCGGCCAAAUCAUUAGGCUUAUGUGUAGUGAAGUACGCACAUAGUUAAGGCUGAGUGAUGAUGGGGAGUGAAAACUAGUAAUGAAGUUGAUGAUUCCACGCUGGCGAGAAAAGUUGCUAAAUAUGGCUGAAGGUGCCCGUACCGCAAACCGACACAGGUAGGUGAGGAGAAAAUCCUAAGACGAGCGGGAUAACCCAUGUUAAGGAACUCUGCAAAAUCACCCCGUAACUUAGGGAGAAGGGGUACCACGCAAGUGGUCGCAGUGAAGAGGCCCAAGCGACUGUUUACCAAAAACACAGGUCUCUGCUAAAUCGUAAGAUGAAGUAUAGGGGCUGACGCCUGCCCAGUGCUGGAAGGUUAAGGGGAUGUGUUAGCGCAAGCGAAGCACGGAACUUAAGCCCCAGUGAACGGCGGCCGUAACU
RNAcentral lists this ribosomal RNA (1927 nucleotides) under Clostridium sp. Its description in RNAcentral is "partial 23S ribosomal RNA". It matches the Rfam family "Bacterial large subunit ribosomal RNA", at positions 1 to 1941 of the family's 2925-position model. The record is from RNAcentral. Lineage: Bacteria; Bacillati; Bacillota; Clostridia; Eubacteriales; Clostridiaceae.